UGCAGUCGACGGUAGCACAGAGGAGCUUGCUCCUUGGGUGACGAGUGGCGGACGGGUGAGUAAUGUCUGGGAAACUGCCCGAUGGAGGGGGAUAACUACUGGAAUCGGUAGCUAAUACCGCAUAAUGUCGCAAGACCAAAGAGGGGGACCUUCGGGCCUCUUGCCAUCGGAUGUGCCCAGAUGGGAUUAGCUAGUAGGUGGGGUAACGGCUCACCUAGGCGACGAUCCCUAGCUGGUCUGAGAGGAUGACCAGCCACACUGGAACUGAGACACGGUCCAGACUCCUACGGGAGGCAGCAGUGGGGAAUAUUGCACAAUGGGCGCAAGCCUGAUGCAGCCAUGCCGCGUGUAUGAAGAAGGCCUUCGGGUUGUAAAGUACUUUCAGCGAGGAGGAAGGCGUUGUGGUUAAUAACCGCAGCGAUUGACGUUACUCGCAGAAGAAGCACCGGCUAACUCCGUGCCAGCAGCCGCGGUAAUACGGAGGGUGCAAGCGCUAAUCGGAAUUACUGGGCGUAAAGCGCACGCAGGCGGUCUGUCAAGUCGGAUGUGAAAUCCCCGGUCUCAACCUGGGAACUGCAUCCGAAACUGGCAGGCUAGAGUCUUGUAGAGGGGGGUAGAAUUCCAGGUGUAGCGGUGAAAUGCGUAGAGAUCUGGAGGAAUACCGGUGGCGAAGGCGGCCCCCUGGACAAAGACUGACGCUCAGGUGCGAAAGCGUGGGGAGCAAACAGGAUUAGAUACCCUGAUAGUCCACGCCGUAAACGAUGUCGACUUGGAGGUUGUGCCCUUGAGCGUGGCUUCCGGAGCUAACGCGUUAAGUCGACCGCCUGGGGAGUACGGCCGCAAGUUAAACUCAAAUGAAUUUGACGGGGGCCCGCACAGC
This 880-nucleotide ribosomal RNA is filed under the name uncultured bacterium. RNAcentral describes it as "bacterial SSU rRNA". It matches the Rfam family "Bacterial small subunit ribosomal RNA", at positions 56 to 929 of the family's 1533-position model. The record is from RNAcentral.